This 74-nucleotide transfer RNA is filed under the name Hemiarma marina. RNAcentral describes it as "tRNA-Ala". It matches the Rfam family "tRNA". Rfam says of the family: Transfer RNA (tRNA) molecules are approximately 80 nucleotides in length. Their secondary structure includes four short double-helical elements and three loops (D, anti-codon, and T loops). The record is from RNAcentral. Lineage: Eukaryota; Cryptophyceae; Goniomonadida; Goniomonadaceae.
GGGGACAUAGCUUAAUCUGGUAGAGCGCCUGUUUUGCAUACAGGAGGUUGUCGGUUCAAAUCCGAUUGUCUCCA